This 274-nucleotide ribosomal RNA is filed under the name uncultured bacterium. Its description in RNAcentral is "partial 16S ribosomal RNA". It matches the Rfam family "Bacterial small subunit ribosomal RNA", at positions 523 to 796 of the family's 1533-position model. The record is from RNAcentral.
AUACUGAGGGUGCAAGCGUUAUCCGGAAUCAUUGGGUUUAAAGGGUUCGUAGGCGGGUCAAUAAGUCAGAGGUGAAAUCUUGCGGCUUAACUGUAAAAUUGCCUUUGAUACUGUUGACCUUGAAUUACUGUGAAGUGGUUAGAAUAUGUAGUGUAGCGGUGAAAUGCUUAGAGAUUACAUAGAAUACCGAUUGCGAAGGCAGAUCACUAACAGUAUAUUGACGCUGAUGAACGAAAGCGUGGGUAGCGAACGGGAUUAGAAACCCUAGUAGUCC